CUAAGUUUCAACAACGGAUCUCUUGGCUCUCGCAUCGAUGAAGAACGCAGCGAAAUGCGAUAAGUAAUGUGAAUUGCAGAAUUCAGUGAAUCAUCGAAUCUUUGAACGCACCUUGCGCUCCUUGGUAUUCCUUGGAGCAUGCCUGUUUGAGUAUCAUGAAAUCU
This 164-nucleotide ribosomal RNA is filed under the name Thanatephorus cucumeris. RNAcentral describes it as "5.8S ribosomal RNA". It matches the Rfam family "5.8S ribosomal RNA". From Rfam's summary of the family: 5.8S ribosomal RNA (5.8S rRNA) is a component of the large subunit of the eukaryotic ribosome. It is transcribed by RNA polymerase I as part of the 45S precursor that also contains 18S and 28S rRNA. Functionally, it is thought that 5.8S rRNA may be involved in ribosome translocation. Lineage: Eukaryota; Fungi; Basidiomycota; Agaricomycetes; Cantharellales; Ceratobasidiaceae. The record is from RNAcentral.